This is a long non-coding RNA of Gallus gallus (chicken), 1528 nucleotides long. The record is from Ensembl. NCBI's taxonomy places the organism in Eukaryota, Metazoa, Chordata, Aves, Galliformes, Phasianidae.
AUUGCUGGAGCUCCCCUGUGUCCCUGAGGCCUUCUGAAGAGCAAUGGGGGAGUCCUGUCUGAGUGCCAUCACUGAGCUGUGGCUCUGCUGCUGGGGAUGGCUCCCAACCUUGUGGGACAUUCGUGUGAAGCAGAGGAACCCUGGAAGCGUUCUGGGGAGGUCCCAUGGUCACUCAGCCUGCCCAUAGCUGCUGCUUGAGGCUGUUUGCCACUGUACCCAGGAUCUACUCCUGGGACCCAUCAGCUUUGCCCUGAAACAAAAGCUCCAGCUGAACAAAAUCCCAGAUCCGUUGGCUCCGAGGAGGUGCAGCGCAACGGCAUUAAAUAUUAACGUGCCAGCAACAUUAGGAAGAGCCAACGGAACUUAAGUGACUCCGAACGUGGAGCACUGAUUAACUGCUGGAGGGGAUUAUUGAAGAGGUAAACGGAAAGUAACGCAGGGAAUUGCCUAAUGUGGAUUGAUCUGGGGCUCCCUUUGGACCAGGAAGGGCUUAUUAGACACACUACCUGAUGCUGCUAUUCAGAAGCACGGUUAGCUGAGCUACUUUGGCUCUUUCUUUCUAUCAGCUUAUUAGAAACCCCUGGGUAGUGCAAUAUCUCCAAAUAGGAUGAAGCUGUAUUUACUAAUUCGUGGGGAUUAGUGGGAAUAGAAUUAUUAAGAUCCCUAUCGGAGGCUGUUGAGGGCUGCGCUGCUUUUGUCGUGUCUCUGUCUCAGGAAAAGCUGCAGCAAUGGGCUCAGCUUCUCUGUUGGGUCCAGCAUGGGCAGAGCGAUGCCAAAUUGCUGUCACAUUUCGCUAGAAUUGGGGUCCAGGCUUCUGAAAAGAAGCAGGAAAGGCUGAUGCUCCACUCUGCUCUUGGUCCGAUGCUUUCUACACCACCUCUGGGGGGAUCCUCAUGCUGAAGGGACUGCAGGGGAUGGGAGGAUGCUGAGGGUGAGAUGCUCUGGCUGCAUCCCAGCAAAGGGAAGGAUUGCACCAGCACUACAAGAAAUGUAUCUGGAAGGGAUGGAUGGCUUUAUUUAUUCCGUUUGUUUCCACGACCACACAAACAGUGGCAAUAAAUCACCCUAUCACCGAAACCAACAGGCAGACCUCACCAGGACAUUGCAGCCCCUGUUGCUCUUUCCUACUGGGACAGACCCCCCCCCGGGCUGGGCAGACUGGGGAAAAUCAGCAAAUUGGCCAAAAGCUGUUGCUUUUGAUGGGGAAAAACACCUAUCCAGGAUGUGCGUGAGUGAGUGCCAAUCCUGAACCCCACAGCAUGGGGCUGUGUGGGGUGCUUGCCUGGCAGCUCUAUGGCAGGAGAAGGCAGGCAGCAGAAGUCCCCACUCCCUGCUGAGUGAGCAGGAAGGCUGUUCUGCCGACCUGGGUUUUGUUUUAUUUUGCUUUAUUCCAUUCCAUGUCUCUUUCCUCCUGCUUGGCAAAUUACACUUCCUCAACUGCCACUGUUCAAAGCAUCUCUUCCCACGGUUUGUUUGGUAUUGGUGGAGAAAAGCUUUUCCUGAAGUGCAAAAAAAACCACCCCCUGCC